This 710-nucleotide ribosomal RNA is filed under the name uncultured Enterobacteriaceae bacterium. RNAcentral's name for it is "bacterial SSU rRNA". It matches the Rfam family "Bacterial small subunit ribosomal RNA", at positions 791 to 1502 of the family's 1533-position model. The record is from RNAcentral. Lineage: Bacteria; Pseudomonadati; Pseudomonadota; Gammaproteobacteria; Enterobacterales; Enterobacteriaceae.
UAGUCCACGCUGUAAACGAUGUCGAUUUGGAGUUUGUUGCCUAGAGUGAUGGGCUCCGAAGCUAACGCGAUAAAUCGACCGCUGGGGAGUACGGCCGCAAGGUUAAAACUCAAAUGAAUUGACGGGGGCCCGCACAAGCGGUGGAGCAUGUGGUUUAAUUCGAUGCAACGCGAAGAACCUUACCUGGUCUUGACAUCCAUAGAAUUCUGCAGAGAUGUGGGAGUGCCUUCGGGAACUAUGAGACAGGUGCUGCAUGGCUGUCGUCGGCUCGUGUUGUGAAAUGUUGGGUUAAGUCCCGCAACGAGCGCAACCCUUAUUCUUUGUUGCCAGCGAUUUGGUCGGGAACUCAAAGGAGACUGCCGUUGAUAAAGCGGAGGAAGGUGGGGACGACGUCAAGUCAUCAUGGCCCUUACGACCAGGGCUACACACGUGCUACAAUGGCGUAUACAAAGGGAAGCGAAGGUGCGAGCUGGAGCGGAUCUCAUAAAGUACGUCUAAGUUCGGAUUGGAGUCUGCAACUCGACUCCAUGAAGUCGGAAUCGCUAGUAAUCGUAGAUCAGAAUGCUACGGUGAAUACGUUCCCGGGCCUUGUACACACCGCCCGUCACACCAUGGGAGUGGGUUGCACCAGAAGUAGAUAGCUUAACCGCGAGGGGGGCGUUUACCACGGUGUGAUUCAUGACUGGGGUGAAGUCGUAACAAGGUAACCA